Molecule: ribosomal RNA, 417 nt
Filed under: bacterium enrichment culture clone ALO1_GLFRUDD03F200L
Lineage: Bacteria
Also listed under: 7 other names
Description: bacterial SSU rRNA
Rfam family: Bacterial small subunit ribosomal RNA
Source: RNAcentral
GAGUUUGAUCCUGGCUCAGAUUGAACGCUGGCGGCAUGCCUUACACAUGCAAGUCGAACGGCAGCACGGGAGCUUGCUCCUGGUGGCGAGUGGCGAACGGGUGAGUAAUGCAUCGGAACGUAUCCUGGAGUGGGGGAUAACGUAGCGAAAGUUACGCUAAUACCGCAUAUUCUGUGAGCAGGAAAGCGGGGGACCUUCGGGCCUCGCGCUCUUGGAGCGGCCGAUGUCGGAUUAGCUAGUUGGUGAGGUAAAGGCUCACCAAGGCGACGAUCCGUAGCAGGUCUGAGAGGAUGAUCUGCCACACUGGAACUGAGACACGGUCCAGACUCCUACGGGAGGCAGCAGUGGGGAAUUUUGGACAAUGGGGGCAACCCUGAUCCAGCCAUGCCGCGUGAGUGAAGAAGGCCUCGGUGUAAG